Molecule: ribosomal RNA, 200 nt
Filed under: uncultured bacterium
Lineage: Bacteria
Description: partial 16S ribosomal RNA
Rfam family: Bacterial small subunit ribosomal RNA
Source: RNAcentral
AAUGAACGCUGGCGGCGUGCUUCAGACAUGCAAGUCGUACGCGAAAGUCCGCAAGGAUGAGUAAAGUGGCGCACGGGUGAGUAAUACUUAGGUAACGCGCCCUCUCGCUGGGAAUAACUAGACGAAAGUUUAGCUAAUACCGAAUAGUCCGUUUGAAACUGCGGUUUCGAUCGGUAAAGUCGUAAGACGCGAGAGGAGUG